AAGAAACUAGUAGAGAGAAAGUUU
RNAcentral lists this small nuclear RNA (24 nucleotides) under Arabidopsis thaliana (thale cress). RNAcentral describes it as "snRNA_16228". The record is from RNAcentral. Lineage: Eukaryota; Viridiplantae; Streptophyta; Magnoliopsida; Brassicales; Brassicaceae.